Molecule: long non-coding RNA, 1680 nt
Organism: Capsicum annuum
Lineage: Eukaryota; Viridiplantae; Streptophyta; Magnoliopsida; Solanales; Solanaceae
Exons: 3
Source: RefSeq, a predicted model, not a curated record
AUAACAGAAGUAGGGUUUCCAAAAUGGUCCUAGUUUCCAAAUCUCUCUCUUUCAUGCCUCCUUUGAAAAUGUAACUCCCCUUCUCCUACUGUAGCUUCCUUUGACUGUUUCUAUUGGUAAUCAACAUGUUGCCUCUGUCUACAUAGUUUUCUUACAGAUUCAGCUUGCAAAAUAGGGAUGAAGAUAAAGGAUGCUUGGACCCACGAAGAUUUGGAUAUCUAUCUCAUGCCCAGGUCUUUAAAGAUAAAGAUGGCAGAGUAUGAUCACAUUCUCUUUAUGGCCCCUAAGUGUCAAACUUUGUUUUAUACAGACUUGGCUAAGACGAAGUUACUCUUUGAGCGAGGCAUCUCCUUGGAAAAGGUGCUUGAGAAUCUACCAACAUUUUAUGAUAGGUUGGUGGCCACCGAGUGGAAGAUAUUUGCCCCAGGCCCAUGUUGAGCCAAUGAGCAUAAGGUUAGGAAGUUCUAUGCUAAUCUCAGUAUAGUAUCUACCUCCGACCCAGUUAUAAGAAUUUGAGGAAAGAAGGUUCAUUUGGGUUGAAUAGAUCAAUGAUUUAUAUGGGAUGUCGGAUGCUAAUAUGACAUAAUUUAAGGAUAAGGGUUGUGUACUAAGGAUUAGGUUAGUUGAGAAACUGUGUUUGGGAAGAGAGAUACUGUGGGCUAUUACGAAAAUGGGGAUCAUUGCUGACAUGGCUAAGGCUUGGAUCUGGUUAGCCAUUGUAGCCAUGUGUCUCUAUCCACAAACAUGACCUAUGUCCCAAAUAUGAGAGCUCAGAUGAUUGCAUGCAUCAUGGACUAUAUUCCCUUGAAUUUUGAGAAAUUUGUGCUUUCGGACAUCAGGCAUAUCAAGAAUCAAGGCGGCCCCCUACUUAUGUUUCCUUCCUUGAUCACAAAAUUAUGCAAGAGGGCCGGAGUUGAGGAGGACCCCAGAGACACUUGGGUAUGCCCUAAGAUCCUUAUUUACCUACUAAAUAUUCGAGGAGAGGGCACAUUUAGAAAAAUCAAAAAUAGAAAGGUUGAUUUAGGAAAGUCGGUAGAGGAUGAUAUGGAUUCUUCCAGGCCAUCCUUCAGCUGAGCCACUCGAGGAUCUCUCAAGCCAGAUGUUGAUUAUGAGAGGUUCCUUUUGUACCAAAAGUAUCAGGUAUCCACCAUUGCUAGACUUGAGCGGGCCUAUUCUUCUUUGACUCGAUCACAUCAGUCGUUGUAGGAGUCACUUGAUAAGAUAAAGUGGAGAAAGAAAAAGAAAGACAAAUUGUUCACUCGCAUGUGGAAAGAGGAGAAGGACCUAUGGAAGGUCUUGAAGCCCAAAUAUAGACUUUCUUCUCCAGAGUAAAGGCAGAUGAUGAUAUUCCAUCCAGGUGGUCUAAGGAUGAUGAGCCACAAUCUGAUGAUGUGGACGAGGAGACAGCCAGUAAUGGUAACACUUAAUACGGAUAAAGGAGCCCCUUUUAAUCUAUCUAUGCUUUAUUAAUAUACUGUGAGGAUACUAAAAGAUCUUAGUUGGGGGUACCCAUCUCUGUAGUUAUUUGAUUUUAUGAUUUGGACUGUGUGAUUCGAAUAUUUAUUUGGAUGUUUUUAAGUUUAUUUGGAUGAUAUUGUUUCAUUUUAUUAGGUUGUAAUAUUUGGCACCCUGAAGGUGCCUACAUUUGAUGGAUUAGUCACUCUUGUUUCUAGUUUUGAA